This 435-nucleotide ribosomal RNA is filed under the name uncultured bacterium. RNAcentral describes it as "bacterial SSU rRNA". It matches the Rfam family "Bacterial small subunit ribosomal RNA", at positions 335 to 762 of the family's 1533-position model. The record is from RNAcentral.
ACUCCUACGGGAGGCAGCAGUGGGGAAUAUUGCACAAUGGGGAAACCCUGAUGCAGCCAUGCCGCGUGUGUGAAGAAGGCCUUCGGUUGUAAAGCACUUUCUAGUAGGGAGGAAGGUAGUGUAGUUAACACCUGCAUUAUUUGACGUUACCUACAGAAGAAGCACCGGCUAACUCCGUGCCAGCAGCCGCGGUAAUACGGAGGGGUGCGAGCGUUAAUCGGAAUUACUGGGCGUAAAGCGCAUGCAGGCGGCCUGUUAAGUCAGAUGUGAAAGCCCGGGGGCUUAACCUCGGAAUUGCAUUUGAAACUGGCAGGCUAGAGUCUUGUAGAGGGGGUAGAAUUUCAGGUGUAGCGGUGAAAUGCGUAGAGAUCUGAAGGAAUACCAGUGGCGAAGGCGGCCCCCUGGACAAAGACUGACGCUCAGAUGCGAAAGCGU